CUGCUGCAUCUGCCUGUACAUUUGCUUGACACAGUCAGAUAGUCAAGCAGCUGGAAUGGCUGCCCAGGGAGCUGGUGGAGUCGCUGUUCCUGACAGUGUUCAAGAGGCAUCUGGAUGAGGAGCUGCAAGAUGUGGUUUAGUACCUUGUGGUAGCAGUGGUAAUGAGAAGACGGUUGGACUAGAUGAUCUUAUAGAUCGUUUCCAACCUUCUGAUUCUAUGAUUCUAUGAAUAGUGAAGGAACUACUGAAUGAAUAACUCUCCUUGGCAUGUAUUUUUUAGUCCUUCUAGAACAAGGUAUGUAAAUUUGCCCAGCUAGGAUAUUCUUCCUCCCAUCCAUACCUAAAUGGUUUCCAUGUUCACAGCAGGAGUGCUUCUUCGACAGCUGGUUUGUCAGCAAGCUCAGCUCGGUAGUAUAAACCCCUUUAUUCAUAAGGAUUCAUGAAGUAUGACCUUCACCCUUCUGUUUUCCCAUUAGGUCUUCAUCCAGCUUGCCUAGUCCUUUUGUACUUGUUUUAAACAAGUGUGACAGAGACUCCUGACACCACUGACUGGUGCCCUGGUCAUGUACUGCUCUCAAAGUUUUUAAGCAGAAGUGGGGUGGACCUGGCAUCUUGAGCUCAGCAGCAGUACCAGAGCCCUACAGGAAAUAUUUCAGUGAAACUUGAGGUGAUGAGGAAGGGUGGAAUGCUGUAUGGUAGAGACACCUUCAGUGGAGUUUGACAUCUCUCUGAAUACCCAAAGCACAAGGGAAAAUGACAGAGUUACGUACUGUAUAGAACUAAUAUCAGUACAUGCAAGACUUUGUGCAUUAUUUUGCAAGCGCACUUGUUUGGAUAAAGAUUAAGAAAGGUUUCUUAUCGCUGAUCGUGUGGAUCUGGUUUUCUACUUGCUAUGAAUGUUAGAGUUUGAAGAAAGCUUUGAGAUAAUGGGCUGUGGAAGACAGAAGAGUGAACCAGUCUCCUUCCUUGUUCUUCAGUUCAGACGAUCAUUAGUUUGGACAACUGGAGGAUGGAGAUCCCAGGACAUACUGAAAGAGCAAGCCUAAUCCUGAAGAUCAGCAAAUCUGAAAAUAUGGGAGCAGAACAACAACCAACCAAAAAAAAUGCUGCAUGUGGGCUGAGAGAGUUAGGUUGUCUCUCCUUACAGUGACAUAAAUCACAAGUGAUCACGCAAAGAUGUGGACCAUGGCAAAGCUGUAAUGCCUAACUUCGUGCUGAGAAGCCUCCUCCCAGGAAAGAUCCAACAUCCCUACAGUGUUACUUGCUGGGUGAUGCAGUGCUUUAGUUUACCACAGCUGAACAUCUCCACCUUUGACAGCCUGAUUUCAGCAGUCAUUUUGUACCGGAGGUUUUAAUAAAUCUUUCCAAAACAAGCUAACAGCCACAGAAACACUGGCACAAGACAUACGGUUUACAUUAACACUAAGAGAGGAAGAAGACUGACCUACUUGAAGGAGGGGAGAAAACAGCACCAGCUGAAGGAUCUGGGAACUGUCCGCCACCUCUUCUGCCAGAUGGAUGAAAGCUGUGUCCUUCCUGAAGUGGCUCCACACUGCUGGGUGCUCACUCUAACAACAGUAAUUAUGAGGGAGAAACAUAGCUGUAUAUAAUCAAUUCCCUAUUAAGCAUCCUCUCCUGUUAUUUAACGUUGAACUGAUGCAGAGCUUAAUGACUCACUGCUUUCUGACAAAUAAUAAAUAUACCACACAGAGGCAUUUCAGAGGCACUGGGUCUCCUCCUGAAUUUGAAUGGAAUUUAACAAGUAGAUCCAGAUGAAACAAUGCAGAGAAAGAAAAAUGAAAUGUCAAAACACUUCAUUUUAGUAUUUUCAAAAUGGAGCAUUUCAUUCUAGAACUGCCAAAACACUUCAAUUUCAAAACAAAGACUUCUAGCUGUCCAUUUUAAAUUUGGCCUAGAUUUAAAAAGAAAAAAGAUUUAAAACGUGUGUAAUGGUCCAAGACAAAAAAAUGAAGCUUUUCUUUGAAGCUGAACUAAAUAUUUUGGAUUGAACAAAAAAGAUGCUUUUCCUGAUUAUAAUUAUUUUUUUGUUUUGCCAACAAUUUACUUUUUUUUUUUUUUUUAAAUCUAGAUUUGACCAAAACCAAAAUACAAUUCUCAAAAAAAUAUGUAAUUGUUAGAGCAAUUGACUAGUUUCAUGCAUUAUGAAACUCCAGCUCUAGGUAACCCAGUGUGUCAGUAUACCUCCUGGAGUUUAAACAGACCAAUCAGGCCCAUUGCUUUCCAAAUGCUAUUAGAGCUGGUUAAUUUAUUUUCAAUUGGAAAAGCUCAAGUGAAUUCUUUUUAUAAUGGUAAAAUAACAGAGAUUCUGUCUGAUAACUCCUACUCAGAAAUACUUAUCUAGCUGUGCACAUGGUAGAUGCUUCUGGACAUCUCUGCUCUCUGUGGUGCUGCAUUGAAGGAGAAUCCUACUUCACCUGAUCUUGGAGCCUCGGCUGCCUGAGCAUCCACUCUGCCCCAGCCUGCCUGUGCUUGGGCCCUAAGUCUUGCAUGUGGAGAAAAGGGAGAAAUCAGCUCACAUCCAGAUUCUGCUUCACAGCAGCAUUGCUGCCGCAUGCUUCAGCCAUUUGGCCACAUAACCUCCUGUCCCUAAUUGAACACAGUCCUGUAAAGCAACAAAGAUGUGGCACUUGUGAGUCUGGUAACAAAGAGCAUGGAAACGUAGCACCAAACUGCCAUCCUCCCAAGAGGUGCAGCAGCAGCAGCACUCCACACUGGUACUUUCAGCCAGAAAUAUUUGGCUUGCAGGUGUUUGGCUUUCUGAUGAAUAGCCCUGAUUUUCUACAGAAAGCAGAUACUUUUUUUCUGGGAAAAAAUAUUCUCACAAAAUCCAGUUUUCCUUUAAAGAAUGGCAAUGGAAAAUCUUUAACCUAUAAGAUGUAGCAACAUGUGUGAUUUUUCUUCUUCCCAAAAGUUCUUUUCUGUGUAUCCAUUGACUUGCUACACAAAAUUGCAGUAAAUCUUGCUGGCUCUGAGCCUAAAACUUGCCCACUUUCCCAAGCUCUAUCAAUAGAGAUAUUAAAGAAAGAUGUUUCCUCACUGUUUCUCAUUUUCUGAGGUCGUUACAGGAAGGACAACAUACCUCUGUACUGCUUGUCACUGGAUAUGAUGGCCAUGGUCCCGUGCCAGCCAGCUGAAAAAAAAGGCUGCUCAUAAGAACCCGCAGAAACAAAGGACACCAAACAGGUCACCAGGAAAGAGCAGUUAAGUCGAGUACCUAUCUGAGAAACAUAAAAUCAUCAGUAAAAGUUUAGUUACCAACAGAUGUGUGCAGGUUUCCUAGAAGGCUUUUUCUUACCUGCUUGCAAAAGAAAAAGCAAAGACAGCUGCAAAACCAAUUCAUCUGUGUUUUGAAUUUGUUAUGAUUCAGUCAGCAAAAGAAAGAAAAUCCAGAGUCAGAGAUCACUCCCUCCCCACUUCUAUCACUAUGGGUUACCAUCCUUAAUUUUACGCAACUGUGUCAUGUUGUGACCAAAUAUUGGAGGCUCAAUCCUUAACUUUGAAGUUUUUCUCUUUUGUGGAAUUAAGCCAGAACCACAAAAUUUUUGAAAACGCAGUGCUUGACUGAAUUGAAUGCAGUUUCCUCUGUGAAACUAAAACCAAACAGAAAGCUUCUACUCUUCCAAAAGGGUGUUUUUUAAAUUGCCUUUGACCCUCUUUCUUUGUAUUUGUAUUGGCUCUGGUUGUUUGAUUAAAACUGUAGGACACCCAAUUCAAGAGAGUAUUUUUGAAAGACAAAUAAGGAAACUUUGAUACUUUUUCUUCAGAUAUCUCCUGUAAUUUUGUAUAAAUGCUUUCCAGUUUUGGCUUACAUUCUUACACACUGCCGGAAUAUCUGAACGUUAAUUCAAGAAAUACUUUACUUUGGCCCUGCUUUGUAGUACUUUGAUGUGUCAGUAUUAAUUGAAUUUAAGUGUUCUCUUUAGGAAUAUUUUAUAUAAAAUAGAGAUUUUGGAGUUCAAAUUCAAAUAUACAUAUGCACACAUAUAGAUAUGAGUAUACAUUAAUAUAUGUAGCCUUCAGCAAUUAUAUAUAAAGUUAUAAUGUGUUCAACUAGCCAAACACAAUAAACAAGUCGUUCAUUAUUUUAAAAUCCUAUUGACCUUAGUGAUAACUUUUCCUGAAAGAGGAAUGCAGACUUUAGCACCAGAAGAAAUUAGUGAAGUUUAACAAAAUAUUUUAAUAUAGCUAUAACAAAUUCAAAAUAACUUCUCGGAGGGAGGCUUCAGUGGCUUAUAUGGAGGAAGGGAAAUUUCAUAUCAAUAAAUAUGGUGGCAUCUGCCAGAUAAAAUGUUUUAAUAAUCCUCUGGGUGUGACUUCCCUCCCACUAAUGUGUCGGACAGUUUAGAUUAACACCAUAUGCCUGUUAAAAGAAUGAGUUGGAAACCAGUCUAAAUAGUGAGAGUUCAUUUUACAGCAUUGUUUUCCCAGCAUUCCUAGUAUGCCUAUGCUAAGGAUCGCUGACGGCACGGACAGGAUGAUGAAAGAGGAGGAAAACCACAGGGAGAGGUGGAAACAUGGAGCCAACAGAACCAGGAAGAGGAGGAGGAAAAGAAAGUCAAAUAGAGAGUAGUGGGAAAUUGUGGGGACUAAGGGACAUGUUAAGUUUUUGGUAGAAAAAGUAGACAAGGGGUAUUGUCCUGCAUCACUGAGGAUAUGGUACUUUUCAAAAGUGAUGGCAUUAAGCCAGGAAGAGGAAUGGUUCUUGUAGAAAUGUGGUAAAGAGCAUGGUUAACAUAAAUUAUCUCUGCAUCUAGAGAUACGCAGAUAAUGACAUCACCUCCAGGAGGAAGAGCUGGCGUGAAAGAGGAAUUGGGCAAGAAGAAGCUGCCAUGCCAAAAUUACAAAGUGACAAGGCAGUGGCAUUAUAAAUUUACCCAUUCAAGUCAAGUCCUGGCUACAAGAUUUCCAAAGGCAGCUUACUCUUUUGAUUGCCAUGUUCCUGAUGUCAGCUGGGCUGUUUCUUUAGUGAAGGUCAGGAGUGUGCCUGGAGACCGUCACAAAUUAAAUAUGAUGAUUGGUGUGAUGUAGCGUUCUGAUGUGUCAGGACAGAGAGUUUCCAGCUGGAGCUUGAUGAGUCACACAGCUUUUCUUCCUUUUGGUAUCAUUCAAUUAUUUUAGGAGACUUUUUUCUUCAAUUGGGCAGAGGUUACAUCCUGCUGCUCAAAACAAGCACAACAGCAAGGGCGAUGAUGACCAAACAAUCUGUAUUUCUGCUGUCGUUCAUUCAUUUUCCACAGUGCUCUGUAAACAUGGAGCCUUGACAAGUGUAACUGAUCCACAUACUAUUGUGACAUUAAAGCUGAAAGAUGUGGAUGAAGCAGUGACAGAAACACAAAAAAAAAGAGCAUUAAAAUGAAGAUUUGGUUCCAAGCUGCAGAAGCAGUUGCACAAACUGAAGAAUAAAGAUGUGAGAAAUUUGUGAGAAAAAUGCAGAAGCCUGAGUCAACAUUUAUUUGAACACCAUCUGCCUAAUGCUGAAGACAAAUCUCCACACACUGAGGUAAUCACACCUACAUCAUUUUGAUUUCCAGAACAAAGCCAUUUCUCUAACAAAGGAUACUACCAAUCCAGACCUGAAAUGGUUUUUUUCUGUUUUCUCCAGAAGCAGAGGAGUGCUGGGGGCCUUGGGUAAAGGGAGAUUUGUUCCAAAUUAGGAACUAACCAGUCAGGAAAGAAUAGCAAUGAAUAAAUCGUUUACAGUCAAAAUCUCUUCAUUUAUACCGAUCAUAAUUACAUUUUGCACUCAAACGUUGGAGCAUGUCUGAGUGCUUAGUGACUGCCUGCUGCUGUGACUGCACAAGUGAAUUACCUUCACUAUAAACCAGAAGUUUUCCUGUCCAGCAUUCCAUAUCUUGCAUUUUUCCCCUGGGUUCAAGAAAAAUUGAUGCUGAACUCUCUGGGAAAACGAUCCUGGUUUUUGAGAGAGCGAGGUGGAGGAAACAACUCCGUGGUGCUCCCCAGUGAGAACAAGGGCUGUCCCAUGUCCUAGGCUCAGCCUUAGUGCUCGCCCACCACAUCAGCUUGUUGUUGGUGCAGCCCUGCACACAGAUCUCAGAAAUCCCCUCUCCACCCUCUCGAUGAAGCCCAAGCUGUUCUGACCAACUCAAAUUAGUAACAGCAUGAGGAGACAUGAGGUCAUUCUGACCACCCAGUUACCUUAAUCCACAUCUACUACUGUCCUGCAUGACAGUCUUGCUCAGGAUCCCACAGAAGCUGUCAGGGUUUAUGGAACACGACUGCUCAGUAAACAGGACAAGAUCUCAAAAGGAACUGUUUCAAUGUGGUGAAUGUCUCUCAAAAAAACAUCAUGCCAAGGUCAGAUUCUAACUGUGAGUUUGCUAUUAACUUAUGCACAUAUCAUAUGGUGAUAAAAGUUACCUACACUCUGAAAUAUGUAAUAAAACAUUGACUCCCUGAACAUUACUUCCUUUGUCGUAUACUAAAGUUAUCAGUGCACAUACAAACACAAUACUCUGAGUUCUCCCACUUCUCUGAAAAAAUCUCAAAUUACUUUUCUUGUAGUGCUGUGUAGCAGGUAACCAACCCCUUUUCUCAUCAGAAAUCCCAAUGGCAGCAAAUAAAAGUAUAAAAGGCAUCUAAAAAGUUAGAAGUUUAUAGUAAAUUACUAUCUCUGUAAUACUUUCUCUUGGGUAUUAAUUUGUUUAAGACUUUCUUCUCAUUUACAUAGAAAUCACUGGAGAACACAAGACUUACACAAGAUAUUUAACACAAAUAAUCACUUGUCCAAAAGUAAAAGCAUUAUCUAUUUGUUGGAAUAUACUGCACUACAUACCUUGUGGCAGAAAUGAAGACUCAUCUUGGCCCACAGAUCACAAAAUAGCUCAACACUGUUAUUUUGUGUGUAUCUGUUAUUUUAUUUGCCUUUGGUACACAUGCAUGGUCCCUCAACUUUAAGCCAGUUCCUUGCUUUUCAACCAUUACAGAAAAAAGAGAGCAGCAGGCUCUCUGGCCUGGCUUCAGGCAAGUGCUCUAUGGUCAUCAGUGUAAGUGGCUCCCAGCGUAACUCCCUCCAAUCCAAAAAAAUCCUGAAUAUUCUGUCUAACUGCAGCCCUUUAAGGACUGAUAUGUAACAGGAAAAGGGAUAAAAGGGCUUAGAUGUAUGUUUAUUAUGUGUUUAUAGAUACUCUUACAGAUACCUAUUUCUAUAUCCUACUCACAAAAUAGGCAGAAUCCAGUGAAGAUGCUAAAAGAAGAAAAAGAUGCCUUGGUUCUGGUGACUCCCAUCACUUGGCAAACUCAUUAGUGAGACACUGUGCUCGCAUAAAGUUCAAACUUUGACACAAGGCAGUGGUACCAUCACCUUCCCUUUAAGUAAAACUCAAGAGAUGCAUGUCAGGAACACAGGAUUUCCUUGCAGUCACAGAAGUCCCUUUUUGAAACGUGCAGAGGAAAUGCCAGGUUUGUGUUUGCCAAGUACCUGAUUUCAGGGUUCAUUCUGCUACUGCACAUAAAUUUCUCUGGUGUGUGUUUGGCACGACAUGUUAUCCUAGACUGAUCAUAUGUUCACAGAUUGCAGAGAGUGUGUGAAAGCCUUUUUUACUGUAGUUAUUGGGCGAAGUCACGUCUGCUACCUGGUACUCAUGCAGAGAAAUCUGUAAUCUGGGAACAGAUGGUGUGAUAGAGAGAGAGAGAGACACUGUCUGGAAGACUGCAGAGAUUUUUUUUACUCAGAGGAGAUGAAAGAGGAAUGUACAAACCCACCAUAGCAUGACAAAAACAUGAAAAUAUAGAAGAACGUCAGUCCUUAAGGUCAUUCCUUUAGAAUUCACCAACUGUCUGUGUACCAUAUGCGCAUACCAACAUACCAAGAUGAGCCCUGUUGCACAGAGUGAGAGGUAACUUAGCCAAAAUUGCGGGAUUGUAGAUGUACUAUGCAGGUAAGUGAUGCAUAAUCUAAUUCCAUAAUCUAAACACACAGCUUGAAAAGAAUCUUAAAAGCAUAUAUAUAUAUAUAUAUAUAUAUAUAGCGGCUUUUUCUCUGUUUUUUUGUUUGUUUGUUUGUU
Long non-coding RNA from Lagopus muta (rock ptarmigan), 8045 nucleotides. RefSeq lists it as uncharacterized. NCBI's taxonomy places the organism in Eukaryota, Metazoa, Chordata, Aves, Galliformes, Phasianidae. The transcript has 11 exons. The record is from RefSeq and is a predicted model, not a curated record.